CAAAAAGGAACCUAGGACCACCAGAACCUGAGAGGCGGAGACAAAGACUGAAAUACACAGGCUUAAGAAACAAAAACUCUCAGGCACCUUGAGACCCAAAGACAGUAAAGAUCUAGUCUACAAGUCCAGAGAUGAGACAGAGAAACUGAGGAGAUGGAGACUUAAAAUGGGGAUCCUGCACAAAUGAAGACUCAAGACCAUGAACAGUCAAGAAACAAGUGCGCAGACCUACUGUGGGCAGACAGAGCUAAAAACCCCACAACCCUGAGGCAAGGCUUCAGAGAGGGAGAGACUGGGAGGAAGGCACUGAACAGACUGGCUGAAAACAGUUAAGGUUUCAGAGAGUAAACUGAAUUCAAACACCUCACCAGAUUUUUGGUAGAUUUGAUUGAGCAACAAGACAAAAAGGAAGAAGAGGAGGCUGCUCCUGCAGAGAUGGGAAGGAAGCUGCUUUCCACAGCAGAGCUUCUGAAAGCCAGUUUGUUCGUCUGACAUGGUUUUUAAAAUGUGUAGCUGAACUGCUUACCACCGAAAACGUUUUUAUUCCUUAUUUACACACACAAAAAACACUUUAUUCUGUUCUGAUAAUUUUAACUAAUACCACGAUCAAGAUGGUUUCACUACUCCUUUUUAACAAUCACAUCACCACCACCUCUGACCUCUGUUGUGUGGGCCCCCAGUGCAGAUUCGUUCCUAUGGAUUUCAUAUAAAUAUAAUCUUAUAGUACAGUGCCUUUUGAGAUG
Molecule: long non-coding RNA, 743 nt
Filed under: Mus musculus (house mouse)
Lineage: Eukaryota; Metazoa; Chordata; Mammalia; Rodentia; Muridae
Description: long non-coding RNA chr7:12780859-12781602
Source: RNAcentral